UGGCUCAGUUGGUAGAGCAUGGUGUUUGCAACGCCAGCAUGGUGUGUGCAACGCCAGGGUUGUGGGUUCGAUUCUCAC
This is a non-coding RNA of Salmo salar (Atlantic salmon), 78 nucleotides long. NCBI's taxonomy places the organism in Eukaryota, Metazoa, Chordata, Actinopteri, Salmoniformes, Salmonidae. The record is from Rfam.